AGUGAACGCUGGCGGCAGGCCUAACACAUGCAAGUCGAGCGGCAGCGCGGGUAGCAAUACCUGGCGGCGAGCGGCGGACGGGUGAGGAAUACAUCGGAGUCUACCUUGUCGUGGGGGAUAACGUAGGGAAACUUACGCUAAUACCGCAUACGACCGAGAGGUGAAAGUGGGGGACCGCAAGGCCUCACGCGACUAGAUGA
Molecule: ribosomal RNA, 200 nt
Filed under: uncultured bacterium
Lineage: Bacteria
Description: partial 16S ribosomal RNA
Rfam family: Bacterial small subunit ribosomal RNA
Source: RNAcentral